Phthorimaea operculella (potato tuberworm) is the source of this 72-nucleotide non-coding RNA. The record is from the annotation of a GenBank genome assembly. NCBI's taxonomy places the organism in Eukaryota, Metazoa, Arthropoda, Insecta, Lepidoptera, Gelechiidae.
GCAUCGAUAGCUCAGUGGCAGAGCGGUGGGGCGUUUACCCAUGCGGCCCGGGUUCGGUCCCCGGUCGAUGUA